RNAcentral lists this unclassified non-coding RNA (263 nucleotides) under plant metagenome. RNAcentral describes it as "partial contains small subunit ribosomal RNA, internal transcribed spacer 1, and 5.8S ribosomal RNA". The record is from RNAcentral.
GUUCCGUAGGUGAACCUGCGGAAGGAUCAUUAUUGUAUAACCGAGGUGCGUGGGCUGUCGCUGACCCGAAAGGUCGUGCACGCCCGAGUGCCCUCACACACAUCCAUCUCACCCCUAUGUGCACCACCGCGUGGGUCCCCCUUUGGCUUGUUCGGAGGGGGGCUUACGUUUUCACACAAACUUUGUAUGCAGUGUAGAAUGUAUUUUUUGUUUUUGCGAUCACGCAAUCAAUACAACUUUCAACAACGGAUCUCUUGGCUCUC